GACGAACGCUGGCGGCGUGCUUAACACAUGCAAGUCGAACGGAAAGGCCCUGCGUUUGUGGGGUGCUCGAGUGGCGAACGGGUGAGUAACACGUGAGUAACCUGCCCUUGACUUUGGGAUAACUUCAGGAAACUGGGGCUAAUACCGGAUAGGAGCUCCUGCUGCAUGGUGGGGGUUGGAAAGUUUCGGCGGUUGGGGAUGGACUCGCGGCUUAUCAGCUUGUUGGUGGGGUAGUGGCUUACCAAGGCUUUGACGGGUAGCCGGCCUGAGAGGGUGACCGGCCACAUUGGGCCUGAGAUACGGCCCAGACUCCUACGGGAGGCAGCAGUGGGGAAUAUUGCACAAUGGGCGGAAGCCUGAUGCAGCAACGCCGCGUGCGGGAUGACGGCCUUCGGGUUGUAAACCGCUUUCGCCUGUGACGAAGCGUGAGUGACGGUAAUGGGUAAAGAAGCACCGGCUAACUACGUG
This 468-nucleotide ribosomal RNA is filed under the name uncultured bacterium. RNAcentral describes it as "partial 16S ribosomal RNA". It matches the Rfam family "Bacterial small subunit ribosomal RNA", at positions 28 to 507 of the family's 1533-position model. The record is from RNAcentral.